RNAcentral lists this ribosomal RNA (245 nucleotides) under uncultured bacterium. RNAcentral describes it as "partial 16S ribosomal RNA". It matches the Rfam family "Bacterial small subunit ribosomal RNA", at positions 556 to 793 of the family's 1533-position model. The record is from RNAcentral.
UACUAGGGCGUAAAGCGCAUGCAGGCGGCCUGUUAAGUCAGAUGUGAAAGCCCCGGGGCUUAACCUCGGAAUUGCAUUUGAAACUGGCAGGCUAGAGUCUUGUAGAGGGGGGUAGAAUUUCAGGUGUAGCGGUGAAAUGCGUAGAGAUCUGAAGGAAUACCAGUGGCGAAGGCGGCCCCCCUGGACAGAUACUGACACUCAGAUGCGAAAGCGUGGGGAGCAAACAGGAUUAGAUACCCUGGUAG